This 375-nucleotide ribosomal RNA is filed under the name uncultured organism. RNAcentral describes it as "partial 16S ribosomal RNA". It matches the Rfam family "Bacterial small subunit ribosomal RNA", at positions 525 to 896 of the family's 1533-position model. The record is from RNAcentral.
GUAGGGUGGGCAAGCGUUGUCCGGAAUUAUUGGGGCGUAAAGCGCGCGCAGGCGGUCCUUUAAGUCUGAUGUGAAAGCCCACGGCUCAACCGUGGAGGGUCAUUGGAAACUGGGGGACUUGAGUACAGAAGAGGAAAGCGGAAUUCCAAGUGUAGCGGUGAAAUGCGUAGAGAUUUGGAGGAACACCAGUGGCGAAGGCGGCUUUCUGGUCUGUAACUGACGCCGAGGCGCGAAAGCGUGGGGAGCAAACAGGAUUAGAUACCCUGGUAGUCCACGCCGUAAACGAUGAGUGCUAAGUGUUAGGGGGUUUCCGCCCCUUAGUGCUGCAGCUAACGCAUUAAGCACUCCGCCUGGGGAGUACGGCCGCAAAGGCUG